This 447-nucleotide ribosomal RNA is filed under the name uncultured bacterium. RNAcentral's name for it is "bacterial SSU rRNA". It matches the Rfam family "Bacterial small subunit ribosomal RNA", at positions 329 to 793 of the family's 1533-position model. The record is from RNAcentral.
GUCCAGACUCCUACGGGAGGCAGCAGUGGGGAAUAUUGCACAAUGGGGGGAACCCUGAUGCAGCAACGCCGCGUGGGUGAAGAAGUAUUUCGGUAUGUAAAGCCUUCUCAGCAGGGAAGAAGAUGACGGUACCUGACUAAGAAGCCCCGGCUAAAUACGUGCCAGCAGCCGCGGUAAUACGUAUGGGGCAAGCGUUAUCCGGAUUUACUGGGUGUAAAGGGAGCGCAGGCGGCGCGGCAAGUCAGAUGUGAAAGCCCGGGGCUCAACCCCGGGACUGCAUUUGAAACUGCCGUGCUGGAGUGUCGGAGAGGCAAGUGGAAUUCCUAGUGUAGCGGUGAAAUGCGUAGAUAUUAGGAGGAACACCAGUGGCGAAGGCGGCUUGCUGGACGAUAACUGACGCUGAGGCUCGAAAGCGUGGGGAGCAAACAGGAUUAGAUACCCGCGUAC